GAUCCUGGCUUAGGACGAACGCUGGCGGCGUGCUUAACACAUGCAAGUCGAACGGAGAUUACUAAUGAAGCUUGCGAUUAGUAAACUUAGUGGCGGACGGGUGAGUAACGCGUGGGCAACCUACCCAUAAGCGGGGGAUAACAGCUGGAAACGGCUGCUAAUACCGCAUAACCUGUACCGGACGGAUGUCUGGUGUAGCAAAGAUGGCCUCUGAAUGAAAGCUAUCACUUAUGGAUGGGCCCGCGUCUGAUUAGCUAGUUGGUAGGGUAAAGGCCUACCAAGGCGACGAUCAGUAGCCGGCCUGAGAGGGUGGACGGCCACACUGGGACUGAGACACGGCCCAGACUCCUACGGGAGGCAGCAGUGGGGAAUAUUGCGCAAUGGGGGAAACCCUGACGCAGCGACGCCGCCGUGAGCGAAGAAGGCCUUAGGGUCGUAAAGCUCUGUUAUAAGGGACGAAGGUUACCAUGGUUAAUACCCGUGGUAAGUGACGGUACCUUAUGAGUAAGCCCCGGCUAACUACGUGCCAGCCGCAGC
RNAcentral lists this ribosomal RNA (537 nucleotides) under uncultured bacterium. RNAcentral's name for it is "bacterial SSU rRNA". It matches the Rfam family "Bacterial small subunit ribosomal RNA", at positions 15 to 518 of the family's 1533-position model. The record is from RNAcentral.